CCCCGACCAAAGAGCAGAAAACAGCCUUAUACCAUUAAUGUGUCUUCCAAAACAGGUGAGAAAACCCUGCUCUUGAAAACUGUGUUCAGCAAGCACCAGAACAGCAAUAUAUAUACUAGUUCAGCAAAUUAGGCAUCACACUAAACUCUGAAACAUAUUAACAUGACUAAUGAACCAAUAUCAUUAUAAAACACACAAUAAU
This 202-nucleotide long non-coding RNA is filed under the name Mytilus galloprovincialis (Mediterranean mussel). The record is from RNAcentral. Lineage: Eukaryota; Metazoa; Mollusca; Bivalvia; Mytilida; Mytilidae.